RNAcentral lists this ribosomal RNA (516 nucleotides) under uncultured microorganism. Its description in RNAcentral is "bacterial SSU rRNA". It matches the Rfam family "Bacterial small subunit ribosomal RNA", at positions 9 to 506 of the family's 1533-position model. The record is from RNAcentral.
GAGUUUGAUCUUGGCUCAGGAUGAACGCUGGCGGCGUGCCUAAUACAUGCAAGUCGAGCGAACAGACGAGGAGCUUGCUCCUCUGACGUUAGCGGCGGACGGGUGAGUAACACGUGGAUAACCUACCUAUAAGACUGGGAUAACUUCGGGAAACCGGAGCUAAUACCGGAUAAUAUAUUGAACCGCAUGGUUCAAUAGUGAAAGACGGUUUUGCUGUCACUUAUAGAUGGAUCCGCGCCGCAUUAGCUAGUUGGUAAGGUAACGGCUUACCAAGGCAACGAUGCGUAGCCGACCUGAGAGGGUGAUCGGCCACACUGGAACUGAGACACGGUCCAGACUCCUACGGGAGGCAGCAGUAGGGAAUCUUCCGCAAUGGGCGAAAGCCUGACGGAGCAACGCCGCGUGAGUGAUGAAGGUCUUCGGAUCGUAAAACUCUGUUAUUAGGGAAGGAACAAAUGUGUAAGUAACUAUAGCACGUCUUGACGGUACCUAAUCAGAAGCCACGGCUAACUACGU